AGCGGGGUAGGGCAGCCAGGAGUGCCCGUCGGGCUCAUAACCCGAAGGUCGAAGGUUCAAAUCCUUUCCCCGCUA
Molecule: transfer RNA, 75 nt
Filed under: Candidatus Diapherotrites archaeon CG11_big_fil_rev_8_21_14_0_20_37_9
Lineage: Archaea; Nanobdellati; Candidatus Iainarchaeota
Description: tRNA-Met
Rfam family: tRNA
About the family: Transfer RNA (tRNA) molecules are approximately 80 nucleotides in length.
Source: RNAcentral